AUUGAACGCUGGCGGCAUGCUUUACACAUGCAAGUCGAACGGCAGCACGGGGGCAACCCUGGUGGCGAGUGGCGAACGGGUGAGUAAUAUAUCGGAACGUACCCGGAAAUGGGGGAUAACGUAGCGAAAGUUACGCUAAUACCGCAUAUGCCCUAAGGGGGAAAGCGGGGGAUUCGCAAGAACCUCGCGUUUUCGGAGCGGCCGAUAUCGGAUUAGCUAGUAGGUGAGGUAAAGGCUCACCUAGGCGACGAUCCGUAGCUGGUCUGAGAGGACGACCAGCCACACUGGAACUGAGACACGGUCCAGACUCCUACGGGAGGCAGCAGUGGGAAUUUUGGACAAUGGGCGCAAGCCUGAUCCAGCCAUGCCGCGUGAGUGAAGAAGGCC
Molecule: ribosomal RNA, 387 nt
Filed under: uncultured bacterium
Lineage: Bacteria
Description: bacterial SSU rRNA
Rfam family: Bacterial small subunit ribosomal RNA
Source: RNAcentral